Molecule: ribosomal RNA, 466 nt
Filed under: uncultured bacterium
Lineage: Bacteria
Description: partial 16S ribosomal RNA
Rfam family: Bacterial small subunit ribosomal RNA
Source: RNAcentral
GAUGAACGCUGGCGGCGUGCCUAAUACAUGCAAGUCGAGCGGCAGCACGGUCUUCGGACUGGUGGCGAGCGGCGGACGGCUGAGUAACGCGUAGGAACAUGCCCUAAAGUGAGGAAUAACUGCCCGAAAGGGUGGCUAAUGCCGCAUGUGCUCUUCGAAGUAAAGCUUUAUGCGCUUUAGGAGUGGCCUGCGUCCGAUUAGCUAGUUGGUGAGGUAAAUGCUCACCAAGGCGACGAUCGGUAGCUGGUCUGAGAGGAUGAUCAGCCAGACUGGAACUGAGAACGGUCCAGACUCCUACGGGAGGCAGCAGUAGGGAAUUUUCCACAAUGGGCGAGAGCCUGAUGCAGCGACGCCGCGUGAGGGAUGACGGCCUUCGGGUUGUAAACCUCUUUCAGUAGGGACGAAGCGCAAGUGACGGUACCUACAGAAGAAGGACCGGCCAACUACGUGCCAGCCGCCGCAGUAA